Molecule: transfer RNA, 68 nt
Filed under: Fasciola gigantica
Lineage: Eukaryota; Metazoa; Platyhelminthes; Trematoda; Plagiorchiida; Fasciolidae
Description: tRNA-Glu
Source: RNAcentral
GUCGAUUAGGUGUUGUUUUUACAUAUCAGUUUUUCGUAUUGAGGUGGGUCUGUUUUGAUCAUUCGAUA